RNAcentral lists this small RNA (27 nucleotides) under Bombyx mori (domestic silkworm). RNAcentral's name for it is "ovarian small RNA-6303". Lineage: Eukaryota; Metazoa; Arthropoda; Insecta; Lepidoptera; Bombycidae. The record is from RNAcentral.
UAGAUCCCGGGCGAUUACGUCAUUUCU